RNAcentral lists this transfer RNA (72 nucleotides) under Candidatus Doudnabacteria bacterium RIFCSPHIGHO2_01_FULL_50_11. RNAcentral describes it as "tRNA-Glu". It matches the Rfam family "tRNA". Rfam says of the family: Transfer RNA (tRNA) molecules are approximately 80 nucleotides in length. Their secondary structure includes four short double-helical elements and three loops (D, anti-codon, and T loops). RNAcentral also lists the same sequence under 2 other names. Lineage: Bacteria; Candidatus Doudnaibacteriota. The record is from RNAcentral.
GCCGGUAUCGUCUAGUGGUUAGGACACUGCGUUCUCAACGCAGGAACCGGGGUUCGACUCCCCGUACCGGUA